This 1554-nucleotide ribosomal RNA is filed under the name Escherichia coli. Its description in RNAcentral is "bacterial SSU rRNA". It matches the Rfam family "Bacterial small subunit ribosomal RNA". The record is from RNAcentral. Lineage: Bacteria; Pseudomonadati; Pseudomonadota; Gammaproteobacteria; Enterobacterales; Enterobacteriaceae.
AAAUUGAAGAGUUUGAUCAUGGCUCAGAUUGAACGCUGGCGGCAGGCCUAACACAUGCAAGUCGAACGGUAACAGGAAGAAGCUUGCUUCUUUGCUGACGAGUGGCGGACGGGUGAGUAAUGUCUGGGAAACUGCCUGAUGGAGGGGGAUAACUACUGGAAACGGUAGCUAAUACCGCAUAACGUCGCAAGACCAAAGAGGGGGACCUUCGGGCCUCUUGCCAUCGGAUGUGCCCAGAUGGGAUUAGCUUGUUGGUGGGGUAACGGCUCACCAAGGCGACGAUCCCUAGCUGGUCUGAGAGGAUGACCAGCCACACUGGAACUGAGACACGGUCCAGACUCCUACGGGAGGCAGCAGUGGGGAAUAUUGCACAAUGGGCGCAAGCCUGAUGCAGCCAUGCCGCGUGUAUGAAGAAGGCCUUCGGGUUGUAAAGUACUUUCAGCGGGGAGGAAGGGAGUAAAGUUAAUACCUUUACUCAUUGACGUUACCCGCAGAAGAAGCACCGGCUAACUCCGUGCCAGCAGCCGCGGUAAUACGGAGGGUGCAAGCGUUAAUCGGAAUUACUGGGCGUAAAGCGCACGCAGGCGGUUUGUUAAGUCAGAUGUGAAAUCCCCGGGCUCAACCUGGGAACUGCAUCUGAUACUGGCAAGCUUGAGUCUCGUAGAGGGGGGUAGAAUUCCAGGUGUAGCAGUGAAAUGCGUAGAGAUCUGGAGGAAUACCGGUGGCGAAGGCGGCCCCCUGGACGAAGACUGACGCUCAGGUGCGAAAGCGUGGGGAGCAAACAGGAUUAGAUACCCUGGUAGUCCACGCCGUAAACGAUGUCGACUUGGAGGUUGUGCCCUUGAGGCGUGGCUUCCGGAGCUAACGCGUUAAGUCGACCGCCUGGGGAGUACGGCCGCAAGGUUAAAACUCAAAUGAAUUGACGGGGGCCCGCACAAGCGGUGGAGCAUGUGGUUUAAUUCGAUGCAACGCGAAGAACCUUACCUGGUCUUGACAUCCACAGAACCUUGUAGAGAUACGAGGGUGCCUUCGGGAACUGUGAGACAGGUGCUGCAUGGCUGUCGUCAGCUCGUGUUGUGAAAUGUUGGGUUAAGUCCCGCAACGAGCGCAACCCUUAUCCUUUGUUGCCAGCGGUCCGGCCGGGAACUCAAAGGAGACUGCCAGUGAUAAACUGGAGGAAGGUGGGGAUGACGUCAAGUCAUCAUGGCCCUUACGACCAGGGCUACACACGUGCUACAAUGGCGCAUACAAAGAGAAGCGACCUCGCGAGAGCAAGCGGACCUCAUAAAGUGCGUCGUAGUCCGGAUUGGAGUCUGCAACUCGACUCCAUGAAGUCGGAAUCGCUAGUAAUCGUGGAUCAGAAUGCCACGGUGAAUACGUUCCCGGGCCUUGUACACACCGCCCGUCACACCAUGGGAGUGGGUUGCAAAAGAAGUAGGUAGCUUAACCUUCGGGAGGGCGCUUACCACUUUGUGAUUCAUGACUGGGGUGAAGUCGUAACAAGGUAACCGUAGGGGAACCUGCGGUUGGAUCACCUCCUUACCUUAAAGAAGC